RNAcentral lists this ribosomal RNA (245 nucleotides) under uncultured bacterium. RNAcentral describes it as "partial 16S ribosomal RNA". It matches the Rfam family "Bacterial small subunit ribosomal RNA", at positions 524 to 768 of the family's 1533-position model. The record is from RNAcentral.
AACGUAGGAGGCGAGCGUUAUCCGGAUUUACUGGGCGUAAAGCGCGUGUAGGCGGCUCGGAAAGUUGGAUGUGAAAGCUCCCGGCUUAACUGGGAGAGGUCGUUCAAUACUACCGGGCUAGAGGACAUGAGAGGGAAGUGGAAUUCCGGGUGUAGUGGUGAAAUGCGUAGAUAUCCGGAGGAACACCAGUGGCGAAAGCGGCUUCCUGGCAUGUGCCUGACGCUCAGACGCGAAAGCUAGGGUAG